AUUGAACGCUGGCGGCAGGCCUAACACAUGCAAGUCGAACGAGUGGCGGACGGGUUAGUAAUGUCUGGGAAACUGCCUGAUGGAGGGGGAUAACUACUGGAAACGGUUGCUAAUCCCGCAUACCAUCAGCUGUGCCCAGAUGGGAUGCGCUUGUUGGUGGGGUAACGCAACACAAAGGCGACGAUCCCUAGCUGGUCUGAGAGGAUGACCAGCGACACUGGAACUGAGACACGGUCCAGACUCCGACGGGAGGCAGCAGUGGGGAAGAGUGCACAAUGGGCGAAAGCCUGAUGCAGCCAUGCAGCGUGUAUGAAGAAGGCCUUCGGGUUGUAAAGUACUUUCAGCGGGGAGGCGUUACCCGCAGAAGAAGCACCGGCUAACUCCGUGCCAGCAGCCGCGGUAAUAC
This 406-nucleotide ribosomal RNA is filed under the name uncultured bacterium. RNAcentral's name for it is "partial 16S ribosomal RNA". It matches the Rfam family "Bacterial small subunit ribosomal RNA", at positions 30 to 526 of the family's 1533-position model. The record is from RNAcentral.